This 275-nucleotide unclassified non-coding RNA is filed under the name Plagiobothrys canescens var. canescens. Its description in RNAcentral is "partial external transcribed spacer". Lineage: Eukaryota; Viridiplantae; Streptophyta; Magnoliopsida; Boraginales; Boraginaceae. The record is from RNAcentral.
GCGUCCCAUUUCGCCUUUCGUCGUCCCUUCUUGUGGCGACGCGGGGUGAACCUCGAAGUAAUCUCUGCGUCCCUCUCCACCCGCAUUCGGUUGUGGUCGUGGACUGGUCCGCAGGGUAUUCGCUUGAGCUCUCGGAUGCGGUGCAUUAUAUACGGGCAUAAGGGACUCGCGUCCCCUGUUUGCCCGAACAAAAGCUUUCGUCUUUUAUUGCGAACGAUUGCGGUCCCCGUUUCGAGCCUUCGGCAAUUGCGGGGUCGCUUCGUGAGGAAAUGCUA